RNAcentral lists this ribosomal RNA (465 nucleotides) under Vreelandella stevensii. Its description in RNAcentral is "partial 16S ribosomal RNA". It matches the Rfam family "Bacterial small subunit ribosomal RNA", at positions 338 to 795 of the family's 1533-position model. The record is from RNAcentral. Lineage: Bacteria; Pseudomonadati; Pseudomonadota; Gammaproteobacteria; Oceanospirillales; Halomonadaceae.
CCUACGGGAGGCAGCAGUGGGGAAUAUUGGACAAUGGGGGGAACCCUGAUCCAGCCAUGCCGCGUGUGUGAAGAAGGCCCUCGGGUUGUAAAGCACUUUCAGUGAGGAAGAACGCCUGGUGGUUAAUACCCAUCAGGAAAGACAUCACUCACAGAAGAAGCACCGGCUAACUCCGUGCCAACAGCCGCGGUAAUACGGAGGGUGCGAGCGUUAAUCGGAAUUACUGGGCGUAAAGCGCGCGUAGGUGGCUUGAUAAGCCGGUUGUGAAAGCCCCGGGCUCAACCUGGGAACGGCAUCCGGAACUGUCAAGCUAGUGUGCAGGAGAGGAAGGUAGAAUUCCCGGUGUAGCGGUGAAAUGCGUAGAGAUCGGGAGGAAUACCAGUGGCGAAGGCGGCCUUCUGGACUGACACUGACACUGAGGUGCGAAAGCGUGGGUAGCAGACAGGAUUAGAUACCCUAGUAGUC